Molecule: ribosomal RNA, 490 nt
Filed under: uncultured bacterium
Lineage: Bacteria
Description: partial 16S ribosomal RNA
Rfam family: Bacterial small subunit ribosomal RNA
Source: RNAcentral
GUGCACGCUGGCGGUAGGCCUAACACCUGCAAGUCGAACGGCAGCACAGUAAGAGCUUGCUCUUACGGGUGGCGAGUGGCGGACGGGUGAGGAAUACAUCGGAAUCUACUUUUUCGUGGGGGAUAACGUAGGGAAACUUACGCUAAUACCGCAUACGACCUACGGGUGAAAGCAGGGGAUCUUCGGACCUUGCGCGAUUGAAUGAGCCGAUGUCGGAUUAGCUAGUUGGCGGGGUAAAGGCCCACCAAGGCGACGAUCCGUAGCUGGUCUGAGAGGAUGAUCAGCCACACUGGAACUGAGACACGGUCCAGACUCCUACGGGAGGCAGCAGUGGGGAAUAUUGGACAAUGGGCGCAAGCCUGAUCCAGCCAUACCGCGUGGGUGAAGAAGGCCUUCGGGUUGUAAAGCCCUUUUGUUGGGAAAGAAAAGCAGCAGGUUAAUACCCCGCUGUUCUGACGGGACCCAAAGAAUAAGCACCGGCUAACUUCGU